Molecule: non-coding RNA, 25 nt
Filed under: Cricetulus griseus (Chinese hamster)
Lineage: Eukaryota; Metazoa; Chordata; Mammalia; Rodentia; Cricetidae
Source: RNAcentral
CUAGGGAAAACACUGACGAAUGGUC